AUAUGGCUCAGGAUGAACGCUGGCGGCGUGCUUAACACAUGCAAGUCGAGCGAAGCACUUCAAUCGAUUUCUUCGGAAUGAAGUUUUAGUGACUGAGUGGCGGACGGGUGAGUAACGCGUGGGUAACCUGCCUCACACAGGGGGAUAACAGUUGGAAACGGCUGCUAAUACCGCAUAAGCGCACAGUACCGCACGGUACAGUGUGAAAAACUCCGGUGGUGUGAGAUGGACCCGCGU
RNAcentral lists this ribosomal RNA (237 nucleotides) under uncultured bacterium. RNAcentral's name for it is "partial 16S ribosomal RNA". It matches the Rfam family "Bacterial small subunit ribosomal RNA", at positions 17 to 236 of the family's 1533-position model. The record is from RNAcentral.